AAAAAAAGUAGCGAAGUAUGUGAGCCAUGUGCCGAGAAAAGCCGCUAUUGUUUUAUAUGUGCCCGUACCGUAAACCGACACAGGUGGAUGAGGAGAGAAUCCUAAGGCCGACGGAAGAAGCAUUGUUAAGGAACUCGGCAAAAUGACCCCGUAACUUCGGGAGAAGGGGUGCCCACUUCAGGGUGGGCCGCAGAGAAUAGGCUCAAGCAACUGUUUAGCAAAAACACAGGUCUAUGCGAAACCGUAAGGUGAAGUAUAUGGGCUGACGCCUGCCCGGUGCUGGAAGGUUAAGAGGAGAGGUUAGUCGCAAGAUGAAGCUUUGAAUUUAAGCCCCAGUAAACGGCGGCCGUAACGAUAACGGUCCUAAGGUAGCGAAAUUCCUUGUCGGGUAAGUUCCGACCCGCACGAAAGGCGUAAUGAUUUGAGCACUGUCUCGACAAUGCAUCCGGUGAAAUUGAAGUACCAGUGAAGAUGCUGGUUACCCGCGCCAGGACGGAAAGACCCCAUGGAGCUUUACUCCAGUUUGGUACUGGGAUUCGGUACUGCAUGUACAGGAUAGGUGGGAGACUGAGAAAUUGGAACGCUAGUCUCAAUGGAGUCACUGUUGGGAUACCACCCCUGCAGUAUUGGGUUUCUAACCAGCCGCUGUGAUCCAGCGGUGGGACAAUGCCAGGCGGGGAGUUUGACUGGGGCGGUCGCCUCCGAAAGGGUAUCGGAGGCGCUCAAAGGUUCCCUCAGAAUGGUCGGAAACCAUUUUAAGAGUGCAAAGGCAGAAGGGAGCUUGACUGCGACACCGACGGGUGGAGCAGGUACGAAAGUAGGACUUAGUGAUCCGGUGGCAUAAAGUGGGAUUGCCAUCGCUCAACGGAUAAAAGCUACCCUGGGAUAACAGGCUUAUCACUCCCAAGAGUUCACAUCGACGGAGUGGUUUGGCACCUCGAUGUCGGCUCAUCGCAUCCUGGGGCUGUAGCAGGUCCCAAGGGUUGGGCUGUUCGCCCAUUAAAGCGGUACGCGAGCUGGGUUCAGAACGUCGUGAGACAGUUCGGUCCCUAUCCGGCGCGGGCGGAGGAUAUUUGAGGGGAGCUGUCCUUAGUACGAGAGGACCGGGAUGGACGGACCACUGGUGUAUCUGCUGUCGACCAACGGCAUGGCAGAGUAGCCAAGUCCGGAAGGGAUAAACGCUGAAGGCAUCUAAGCGUGAAGCCCCCCUCAAGAUGGGAUAUCCCUCACAUAAGUGAGUAAGAUCCCUUGAAGAGUACAAGGUAGAUAGGGCAGAGGUGGAAGCACGGUAACGUGUGGAGCUGACUGUUACUAAUCGAUCGAGGGCUUGACCU
This 1334-nucleotide ribosomal RNA is filed under the name metagenome. RNAcentral's name for it is "bacterial LSU rRNA". It matches the Rfam family "Bacterial large subunit ribosomal RNA", at positions 1575 to 2925 of the family's 2925-position model. The record is from RNAcentral.